AUUGAACGCUGGUGGUAUGCUUAACACAUGCAAGUCGAACGGGGCGCUUCGGCGCCUAGUGGCGGACGGGUGAGUAAAGCGUAGGAAUCUGCCUUGCAGUGGGGGACGAACCUGGGGAAACGUCAGGCUAAUACCGCAUACGCUCGCGAGAGGAAAGCGGGGGAGUCUUCGGACCUCGCGCCGCAAGAAGAGCCUACGUCCGAUUAGCUAGUUGGUAGGGUAAAAGCCUACCAAGGCGACGAUCGGUAGCUGGUCUGAGAGGAUGAUCAGCCACACUGGGACUGAGACACGGCCCAGACUCCUACGGGAGGCAGCAGUGGGGAAUAUUGGACAAUGGGCGCAAGCCUGAUCCAGCAAUGCCGCGUGGGUGAAGAAGGCCUGCGGGUUGUAAAGCCCUUUAAGUGGGGAGGAACGGCGGGAUGCGAACAGUGUUCUGCUCUGACGUUACCCACAGAAUAAGCACCGGCUAACUCCGUGCCAGCAGCCGCGGUAAAGUCAG
This 499-nucleotide ribosomal RNA is filed under the name uncultured bacterium. RNAcentral's name for it is "bacterial SSU rRNA". It matches the Rfam family "Bacterial small subunit ribosomal RNA", at positions 29 to 528 of the family's 1533-position model. The record is from RNAcentral.